AGUAACCUUUUAGGAGCUAGCCGUCGAAGGUGGGACAAAUGAUUGGGGUGAAGUCGUAACAAGGUAGCCGUAUCGGAAGGUGCGGCUGGAUCACCUCCUUUAUAAGGA
This 108-nucleotide ribosomal RNA is filed under the name Staphylococcus aureus. Its description in RNAcentral is "partial 16S ribosomal RNA". It matches the Rfam family "Bacterial small subunit ribosomal RNA", at positions 1434 to 1533 of the family's 1533-position model. Lineage: Bacteria; Bacillati; Bacillota; Bacilli; Caryophanales; Staphylococcaceae. The record is from RNAcentral.